Molecule: ribosomal RNA, 254 nt
Filed under: uncultured bacterium
Lineage: Bacteria
Description: partial 16S ribosomal RNA
Rfam family: Bacterial small subunit ribosomal RNA
Source: RNAcentral
CACGUAGGGGGCAAGCGUUGUCCGGAUUUAUUGGGCGUAAAGAGCUCGUAGGCGGUUCGGUAAGUUGGGUGUGAAACCUCCAGGCUCAACCUGGAGACGCCACCCGAUACUGCUGUGACUAGAGUCCGGUAGGGGAGCGUGGAAUUCCUGGUGUAGCGGUGAAAUGCGCAGAUAUCAGGAGGAACACCGAUGGCGAAGGCAGUGUUCUGGGCCAGUACUGACGCUGAGGAGCGAAAGCGUGGGGAGCAAACAGG